UUUUUUAUAUUUUGCUUCCAGUAAACAAUUCGCCGAUCGGUUUUCCGUAUGCAGUGAACUCAGCGUGACCUUUCUCAUAAACAUCCGGUGAUCGCAAUACGCAUGGAUCUGUCAUUGAAAUAAACUAUUAUAUUACCGUACAUGUUAUACACGUGCUCAAUAUCCGUGCGUCCUGGUUAAUUGUUUACUAAAGUGACAAUCGGUAAACUACGGCUUCAAAACACAACAAGCAAUUAGCUGCCAUAGUUUCACAUCAUAACAGAUCGAGAGAUUUUUCUUUUGACGAUUACGUCAUAAAGAUGCGUUAAAAUGAUUAAAUCGUCCACAGACGACUAAGUUUAUGAUAUAUUCAUACAUUGGUUCAAUAAUUGGAUAAACAUUGAUGCUCACCAGUCACUCAUUUCAUAUGACUUUAAAUGGAAAAUGUUAGCAGUAUGUAUGAUAGUUGAAAGAGACAACACAUGAACUGGUCUCACAAUUUAUAUUGAUUUCAGUGUUUGUUACCGGC
This 508-nucleotide long non-coding RNA is filed under the name Mytilus galloprovincialis (Mediterranean mussel). The record is from RNAcentral. Lineage: Eukaryota; Metazoa; Mollusca; Bivalvia; Mytilida; Mytilidae.